AAGAGAGGAAGACCAAGGCUCAGAUGGAUGGAUCUGGUGCUGGAUGAUUUGAGGACAAUGCGAGUCACUGGAUGGGGAACCAAGACCCAGGACCGCAACUUCUGGAGGCGCAUUGUGGAGGAGGCCAAGGCCCAUGUCGGGCUGUAGCGCCUAUUAUUGUUGUUGUUGUUGUAUUCUUUGUUCUA
Molecule: long non-coding RNA, 185 nt
Organism: Chrysoperla carnea
Lineage: Eukaryota; Metazoa; Arthropoda; Insecta; Neuroptera; Chrysopidae
Exons: 3
Source: RefSeq, a predicted model, not a curated record